This 4633-nucleotide long non-coding RNA is filed under the name Sus scrofa (pig). Its description in RNAcentral is "lncRNA (ENSSSCG00055017333.1)". The record is from RNAcentral. Lineage: Eukaryota; Metazoa; Chordata; Mammalia; Artiodactyla; Suidae.
GUCCAGUUCAUUUAUUAUUAUCUCCCCUCAUCCCCACACUGCACUUGCCCAGAGUGGGAGUGUGGAACCAUGCCAGGCUCCUUUCCUGGCUCAGUAUUUGGCACAAACUGGUGUUGGAGAAGUGUAUGCUGAACCAACGUGAGCAGGACGUGCAGAGAACUUCAGUGAGUCCCAGGAAAUAAAAGGACAGCGUGGCUGGAGUGAGCGAGCGUACAGGAUCUUGCCAUCCAUGGGAGGAAGAGGAAUGGGAACCCAGAGAAGCAUUGUAUGAGAAAGAUGCUCAAAUGUUUUCAAAAGCCACUGGCGGUAGUGCAGUCAGUUUGGAGGGGGCCUUGUGGGCAGGGAAAGCAGUGAGGAAGCCUUUGAUGAGUGAGGGCAGAGGAUGGGCUUUGCAUCAGGAAGGUGCCUGCGGAGGGAAGAACUGACAGGAUUGGGGGGGGGGGGUCAUACGGAUGCGGGGUGGAAGAGGAAAGCCAAGUUCAGCUAUGGCUGCCAGGCUCUGGCUGGAGUCAGGGACAUGGAUGACAACGCCAGUCACAAGAAGGGGCAGGCAUGAGGGGAGAGCCGGAUUUGUGCAGGGAGGUGGGGAGUCUGAGAAUUCAGAUCAUGAUGGAAUGAAUCUGAGGUGCCACUAUGACAUCCAGUGAGGAUGGCAGGUGGGUGGCAGGUGCAUGUGCAAUAAUCGGGGCUCAGGAGAAAGCUGGGCUGGAGCCUGGCUAGGGAUGAGGUCACCUCUAGGUGUGGGGUGAAAAGGCUCUGUUCAGGGCAGAAGACGAGCAUGGGUGAGAGGGAGAGACACACACAAAGUAGAAUGGGUCAUCCAGCCUCUGAAGGUGCACCCGGGGGAUGUCACUGGCCAACAUCGCAGAGGGGGGCCAAGGAAACAUGCUUUGGAUUUAAAGAUUGGACGUCACAGGUGGUCUGAGUGCGGCCCUCCUAGAAUGCUGCCAAGCACCGUGGAGGUGAGCAAAUGCCGGGACUUCCUUUUGGGAAGCCUGGCUGUGAAGGAGAGAGACCUGGAGGGAAGCACUGGGUUGAUGGGGCAGAGAGGGGGGGAUCCCUUAAAUGGAGCCUGUAACACAUUCAUCGAACCCUGAGCAGACCAGCUGGGAGGAAGAGGCUGUUCCCUUGAGAGGGAUCCUAAGACAUGAGGUUCCUGCUACAGCAGUGGGAGGAGACAGGACCCAGAGCCCUGGCCAGCAGCUCUGCCUGGCCCGGAGGGUGCAGAGAGGAACAGGGAAGGACAGGCAGGUGUAACGGCAGUUGGUGUCUUUUCUCUGAUGAGGGCGGCCCCUCUGCUAAGCGGGGGAGAACGAAUGUCCACGAUGUGAGGGGAUGAAGGCUUACACUAGGCACUGUGGACAGGAGAGCUGGCUGCCCAGAGGGACACGGUGCCACUGCCGGGGACUGGGGCUGGGGCUUGUGCCAGCCAACCUAAACACAGUGGAACCAGCCCUGCUCUGGCUCACAGCAGCCCUCGCUGCUCAGAGCCACGCUAAGCUGGGCGGCCGGGUACCAGAGAUAGAUGAUGGGCUUGAGCUUUCAGAGGACUGGCCUGAGGGUCCUUAAAAUACCAGGCCGUGCUGGCUGAGCUGGCACAGAUGAGGCAGGGGAGAGGGUGAUGUGGCGUUGGCAGACUGCCAUGCCCCACGGACUCCCCGGGAGCAGCAUCAGGCCAGACCCAUGUACAACCCCAGGAGGCCCCUGAGGCACCCUCAUUGCACAAACCAGGGUCUCCUGACCUGAGACCAAGGCAGAAGCCAGCUCCCAGCCCCCUCUCCAGCCCCUGGGCCGCCCAGCUCCCCCGGUCAGGAUGGCACUGAGACAAACACACCGUCAACGUUUAUUGUUGUACCCCCCCCCCGCCCCCACUACAGACGGGGCUGGGGGCUGGGCCUCCACAAGAAGCAGUCAAUGGGGGGCCCUACCGUGGCCGCCCUAAUGUGCCGGCAGCCUGUCAGGCCUCCCCCCAAGCUUUCCAGGUCCAGAAAUCCUCGCAGGGCCUGGGCCUAUGUCAGACCUGGGAAAGCAGCCUUUGGGGAGGAGCAGGGUUGGUGGGGAGAGGUCCUGUGAUGGCCCAGAACCUGCCAAGUCCAACACCAGCAUGUGACAGGUGGGGAAGUGAGCCAAGAGUGUAGACCCGCAGGGAAAAGUGCCGGGGAGUCCGAAGGUGGCGGAGGGCAGGGGCGAUGAGCUGCAUCUUUCGGGCACUGAGCCAGAAGGGGGUGAGAGGGAGACUUCCAGGGACGCCUCCCUCCUGGCUUCUGGAAGGGGGAGGAGGGGAGGGGAGGGGCUCUGGGCAGUUGGGGGGCGAGUCCUGAACAGCUCCGUCCCCCUUGGGCCGGGGGGGGCCUUCAGGGCAGCUGGGCUUGAGGGGGGCCUCAGGGCCUGGAUGGGUCCUGUGGGCCCCCCGCCUGGGUCUGCCCUGGCGAAGAAACGGAAAGGGCCGCAGCCUUAUAUCGGCCAGGCCCUCACUGAGCCUUUUUGGUCACCUUCUGGCUCUUCAGCAUCACGGAGGUGAUGAACACUCCUGGAACACACGGGCCAGAAAGGCCAGUUAAGGUCCUGGCUCAGGGCUGCUGGGAGGCCGGAGCAGGACAGAGCAUGACAGAGGGACCCGCAGGCGGGGCCAGGCACCGACCCAGCCACCCUCCAGGUUCCCCCGGUCAUCUCCCAAGUGGCUCGCUAAGCCACACCCCCACCUAUAUUCAUUCAACAAACAUCAGCCGAGGGCUGACCACAGGCCACCUGCUGGAUUUGUGUUUCCGAUUUUACAGGGAAUAAGAUCCACCCAACCAUCCAUCGACUCAGCUAGUCAACCAUCUGGCCACCUACCUCCCCAGCUGCCCACUCAGCACCUACCAUCCACCUACCCCAUCAUCCAGACACCUGAUUGCUGACUCACUCAAAUGACUUUUUUGAGCACCAACUCAGUGCCACAGCAUGUGCUGGGCACUGAGGACACAGUAAUGAUGAAGAUACAGUCUUUGGCCUUAGGAAGCCCACACACUAAACCCUGGGAGUCAGAGGGGUGCAGGAAUCAGAGGCCAAAGUGACAAGGGGGUGAGGGGUGAUGGUGGUGGAAGGAGCAGGAAACAAGGAGACACCCCAUUAGAGUCCAGUGAGCCUGAGGAUCGAGAAGCCUGCAGCCCUGAGGGAUGAACACGGAAACCCCAGGGGGUGAACUGAGGGCAAGGAGCCUCCAGCAGGUGUACCGCAGGGGCCAAAGUACAGCCGCAUGUUCAGGUGUAGGAGAGGGUCAUGGGGUCCCUCAGACACCCCGCCCAGGGUUGGGAGAACUUACCCACAAAGAGGAGCAGCAGGAGGCCGGCGGCCAGCGGGAUAGCAACAGCAUAGGCCCGGGGCAGGAAAUACUUGUGGAUGACAUGCUGACUGUCAAUGAAUGGCUGGCACAAGGGCAGAGCUCCGGUGAGCAUGCCUGGCUCUGCUGAGCGCCCCAAGCCCAAACAUCCCACCUCCUCUGUCUCAGGGGCUGACCCCGUCAAAGCGCUGGGGCUGCAUUUGCUUUUCUUUAAGAUGAUGGCAUCUUGGGUGCUUUGGUUGGUUCCCUUCCUUCAUUUUUCUACAAGUGGUAUACUAGGUACUUCCCUGGUGCCUGCUCUAAGCUGCUGCUGGGGACCUGGCUUAAGUCCCCCACAGCUUAGCAGGGGCAAAGGGUACAUGAGGAAUCCCAAUCUGGGCUCCAAGAUCUUUUGUUUUUGUUUUUGUUUUGCUUUUUAGGGCUGCACCCUCGGCAUAUGGAGGUCCCCAGGCUAAAAGGCAAAAAAAAAAAAAAAAAAAGAUUUUGAUUCCCAAACACACUGCACAUUUUAACACAUUUUUCCCCCGGGGGGGGGGGGGGAUAUCCCAAAGACCCUCACAAAACCCAUUGGCACUUGUCAUGCCCAGGAGCCCGCAGGAUAACCAGAAGGACUAGAACUCCCAUUAAAGGCACAGGACCUUACAGUGUAGUGGUUCAGGAUUCUACCUUAGGUCUGAACCUUCUCCUUGAGCCUCGGCUUCGUCAUCUAUACAAUGGGGACACCGCUAGUGUCGUCCUCCUACUGCUGCUCUGACGCUUUCAUUACAUGGGCAGGUAGGCCUGUCACGUGCUUAAAUGUUAGGAGUUGGCUUCAAGAUCUAGGGAUAGGAGGUGAGAGCGGACGAGGAAGCACACAUACCAACAGAAUCACCCAGGUGGUGUAGUACGUGAAGAUGAUCAGGCUAACGGCGACGAGGCCGAGUCCCACCACCUGGUCUGUCCCUGUGGCCUGGAGAAAAGGGAAAGCUCAACUGAGGAAGUGACCCUCCAUUUAGGUGCACUAACGGAGGGGGGAGUUGCCGCCUGAUUACGCCCAUUCACUCAGCAGGCGUAUCCGACGUGGCUGACGAGGUUUCCAUUUCCUGGCUUGAGACAGAGUGCAGGCUAAAGACCUACCACCCGUACGAUGGGCCGGCGGGAGAGUGAUCCCGGCUCCCGAGAGCUCAAGCCUCAGCUUCUGAGUAGACCUAGGACCCCACACCCAGACGCCCUCAUUCCCAGGACUCCCAGCCCCAAGCUCACCAUUUCCCCAGCGCUCCAGGCACCGGAGCCGUAAGCCACAUCCGGUUCCGCAUCCGGGCCCUCCUGGCC